RNAcentral lists this long non-coding RNA (2094 nucleotides) under Brassica rapa (field mustard). Its description in RNAcentral is "long non-coding RNA (BRAP_LNC003860)". The record is from RNAcentral. Lineage: Eukaryota; Viridiplantae; Streptophyta; Magnoliopsida; Brassicales; Brassicaceae.
AAGGUAAGAAGGUGCUUUAUUCCAUAACACAAAUUGUGUGUUCAAGUUUUCGAACUCGUUUUAGGAUUAGUUGCCAACAAGAAAGUGCAUCAAAAACCAUCUUAGGAACAAGAUGUUAUUAUAUAGUGUAUCCAUGUAAAAAUAAACACAGCACUUGGUAGAUUUCAGAGAGUAUUAUCAGGCAUCACCAGCUCUCAAACCUUCAGCCAAAGCACGUGCUCUGUUCUGGGUUUGUCUUUCUACAGCAACCACCUACAAUAAAUUCAUAAGAAAAAAGCUUUAAAGAAAACGGAUCGAAAGGUCCAAGAAGAUACAUUACCAACUGCACUUCCGAGUGCACAGCCCCAGAGAAUCCUCAUUGACCACUUAUCCCUCUCGACACCAUCAUACUUUGCUCUGCAAUAAACCCCCUUCAAAGCUAUAGUUUACCAGCAAAAAGACUCAAACUAAAAUUCAAAAAAAUUACUCGAAAUGUAGAUCUAUAAACUAUUUGGGGAAAAAGUAGAUGAGAACAACAAUAGGAGUGUGAGAUUACCAGAAUUCAAAUGAAACAAGAGGGGCUACUUUGUCAAUACUAAACAUAAAUGUGCUUAUUUGGAUAAAUAACAAAACUACGGAGGAUUGCUCCAUAAUUAAUAAAAACAUAAAGGACUAGACUACAUCCUCACAUGUAAUGAUACUUUUUUCUUUUGACCGAAUGUUUUACUUUAUCGUUUUCACAAAAUUAUGAAAUCUAUAUUAUUAAAGUUGAAGUACACAUUGAGAUUGUUUGACAAUAUGGAUAGUAGUUAAAAAAUAGUAUUGUUUGGAAACAUGGAUAGUAGUAAGUUAGAAAAAAAUAAUGGGCUUAUGCUACUAAAAAAUUGGAAGUCCAUUACAUUAUAUUAAAAAGUAAUAAGUCUAUGUUACUUGAUAAUAUAUAUAUUCAAAUCAAAAUAAUAAUUUAAAAUUGAUUUAUAUCAAAAAUUCAUUCAAAAAUAAACAUAUAUUCAAAAUUUCAUUUUUACUAACAUAUUUUUCAAUAACUAUUAUAAAAAUGUUUUCAAUAUAUAUAAGAAAAAUACAAUACAAAGCCCAAUUUCAAACACCAACUUAAAUUAUGGUUUUUAUGUUUCACAUUAAAUUUUAAAAUAUAAUUUAUGUGAUUAUUUAUAUCAUUGUACGUAUAAAAUAUUAUUAAUUAUAAGAAAACUUAUUUGAUGGUACUUAUAAAAUAUGAUUAAUUAUAUGAUAACACAUAUUUUGUAACCUAUGAUGACACAUAUAAGAUAUAUAUAUAUAUAUAUACAAUAGUGAUUAGGGGUGGGCGUUCGGGUUCGUUAUCGUUUUCAGGUCUUUUUGGGAUUUCGUGUUCAUUUCAGAUCUUUGAGGAUUUGGUUCGGAUUUGGAUAAUCAAUUUAAAUAGGUUUGAUUUAAAUAUUUGGUAGAGAAUUAAUAAUUAUUAAAGUAUUUUUGGAGUUUUGAGUAUAUUUUAACUAUCUAAGAUAUUUACGUUUGAUUAUUUGUAUAUAUUUUCAAGCAUUUAAGCAAACUAAAAAGUAUCAUAUAUAUUCUGGAUGUUUUUAUAUAUAUAAAAUCUAAAAAUAAUUAAUGUAUAUAUUAGUAUAUAAAUCUAUUUUGGAUACCCAAAAUACUUCGGUUCGGAUCGGAUUAGAUUUCAGUUCUUCAAAUACCAAAAUUUUGAAUAAUUCGGAUAUUUAAUCAAUUCCGGUUCGGAUUUAGUAUUACUUAUUCGGAUUGGGAUCGGUUCAAUUCUUCGAAUUUGAGGUUUUUGCCCAACCCUAAAUAGUGACAUAAAAAUCAAAUAGCAUCAUAUUUUUUUAAAAAAAUACACCCGCACAGGCGUGCGGGUCAAAAUCUAGUUCAAAUUAUUAUUCAUUUCUGCAAUUCGACUCUAUGAAAACUCCUAAGUAUCUUUUAUCAGUGUAUCGAUUUAAUAUACAUCUGCUCUAUUAACUAAGGUCAUUAAAAUGUGUUGAGUCUCAAAAAAGUCUUAAUAUUUGAUUUUUACCUUAUUGGGAAACAUUAAAACAUCUAAUGGAGAGUUAAAUGUAAGUGAAGUUUCGGGGAAAACGCUUUUGACAAAACACUCCU